UAUGUGAUCGUCUCUCGCAUAUCAAUAAGCGGAGGAAAAGAAACUAACAAGGAUUCCCCUAGUAACGGCGAGUGAAGCGGGAAGAGCUCAAAUUUGAAAUCUUAAAGGGUUUCCCUUUACGAAUUGUAGUUUAAAGAAGUGUUUUCUGUUGAGGUUUUGGUAAAAGUUCUUUGGAAUAGGACAUCAUAGAGGGUGAGAAUCCCGUAUUUGACCUUUACUUUCAACUUUGUGAUACACUUUCAAAGAGCCGGAUUGUUUGGGAAUGCAGUCCAAAAUGGGUGGUAAAUUUCAUCUAAAGCUAAAUAUUGGCGAGAGACCGAUAGCGAACAAGUACCGUGAGGGAAAGAUGAAAAGAACUUUGAAAAGAGAGUUAAACAGUACGUGAAAUUGUCAAAAGGGAAGCGUUUGACACCAGUGUUGUUUUUCUGAAAAUCAAUUAAAGAACUGUUUAUGCUAAGCUGUUUAGACUUUAUCAGCUAUCUGUUUAGUUUUGAGCUUUUCUUUAAUGCACUUUUCAGUUAACAAGUCAACAUCAAUUUCUUUUGCCUGUAAAAAAGCUUGAGGAAGGUGGCUUGAGAUUCGUCUUAAGUGUUUUAUAGCCUCUUGCCUAUGCAGUCGGAGAGAUUGAGGUCUGCAGCGUAGAUCCUUCGGGGCUAAAUGCAUUUGUGCUAAGUUAUAGCAUUUUAUAGACAACUUGUUGACUAUGAUUUGUCUUGUAGCUUACUCGCUUAUGUUAUUUUACCUACGCUUAGGAUGUUGAGCGCAUGUCUCUCUCU
RNAcentral lists this ribosomal RNA (776 nucleotides) under uncultured Neocallimastigales. Its description in RNAcentral is "partial large subunit ribosomal RNA". It matches the Rfam family "Eukaryotic large subunit ribosomal RNA", at positions 24 to 616 of the family's 3401-position model. The record is from RNAcentral. Lineage: Eukaryota; Fungi; Neocallimastigomycota; Neocallimastigomycetes; Neocallimastigales.